UGGCGACCUUUGACCUAUCCCUUCCUACCUACCCCAGUGACUCUGUGGCAUCAGGGAAAACAGUUUCACUGAGAAGCCAUUCUCUGAAACAUCUCAGAGAAAUGUAACUUCGGGAUUAUCUCAAAUGCACUGGAAACAUAAGUAGCAAAAAUCUUCCAGACGAAGAAGCCUGCAUGGAAUAUGUUAAUAUAUGGUGCAGAUUGGGUCUAUUAGUGAUUAUGUGCUUGUCAGGGAUGCUGUGAAGAAGAGGCUCAUCAAAAACCAGGCGAAGGCUUUGAGACAAUGAGUGUGUGGAGAUUGCACAGCUUGCAGCCAAGGAGCAGCAAUGGGAUGUAGGAGAAAAUGAAGGCUUUAAUUCUGAGUCUUGUAAUCAUUGGGAAGUUGGUCUACAAAUGAGAAUAGCUUUUACUUCUUGUGCAGUUCAUGCCAUUCUGAGGGUCACAUCACCUGUCUUGACAGAAGGGGUGGAAUUAUGUAUUUGGUUAUGGGGAAAACCAUGUAAGGUUUCACUCCUUUUUGGAUUCACCAGUGUUUAUUUACACACACCUAGUGUGCCAUAUUGUGCUUGCCUAUAGAAGAGCCUUCAUCAACUCACUGGUGUAGUGGUGUGGUGGUCUCAAGAUACACCAGGAUUUUAUAACUAAUGGUGCAAUAAGUACUGAAAUUGUGAACCUGGAGGUAUUUUCCAAGGGGCACAGGAACCUAUAGGCUCUGGUCCUAUAGUGCUGAGCUGGUACACACAGAGCUGGGCCCACAGGACACCCUGGGAACUGCACAGUCUCCUCUAUUACGCUGUGCCACAACCUGGGCAACACGGGUGUCUUGUUUGUUUGACACCUGGCCUCAGAGAAGAAGAAAGCCAUGUGCAUCUGUAUGGAGCAGCAGCAAAUUUUGGCACAAGAGCAGAGCAAAGACUCAUAUCCACACUUCUGAAGCCAUAGAGGGGUGUUCUAAUUGCUGUUUCUCAUGUUAUAUACACAACAUCUGAUUUGUAUUUGUUAAAUACGUGACACAGAAAUGAAGAGGCAGAAGAACAGAAAGUAAAUACUUGGACGUAUUUCUCAGGGUUUUUGAAGACCUGUGAAGGGACUUGAAAUAUCAUGCUUCUGUGCUUGCACACAGGCACAAAUCAUGGUGUUGCCUCAGGCUGAGCAGGAAGUGAGACCAGAGUUGUGUAAGCCUGAUGAAAGGCAGAGCUCUCAGCUGGAAGUCACUAUUCACUGGGUGGUUCUGGGACAGGCACACAGUAACGCAUUGAAAUGUAAGAUGGAUUAUAUAAUAAUUUGAAUUUGACAGAGUUCAGAUGGAAAUGGAGAGAAAAUUAGAAAAAUCAUAUAAUCCUUUCCCCAUACAAACCUUGACUUGAGGUAGAUAUGGUGGAGCCCUCUAGCCAACUUCGAUUAAUAGUUCCUGGACAGUCCCUCACUUACAAAUCGUCGUGUUGUGAUAACUAUCUGCUAUUUAAAGACACAGGAAGAAUAUUAAACUGCUUCUGUCUUUGAAGUUCACAGGCAGGGAAUCAUGGUUACUAAAGACUAUUAAUUAUCUCAGCAGUCAAACUAUGCUAGGCAAAACUCCAGUAUAAAUGGCAGACAGCAAGUCUGAUGUUAUACUGCAAGAUUUCCUCAGAAUAAUGUGUACAAAGCAAGAAAAAACCUGUGUGCAAACUCUAAUCUCAUUGAAACAGCCUGCAGAAGUACAUGUAUAA
Pseudopipra pipra is the source of this 1708-nucleotide long non-coding RNA. RefSeq lists it as uncharacterized. The transcript has 3 exons. The record is from RefSeq and is a predicted model, not a curated record. NCBI's taxonomy places the organism in Eukaryota, Metazoa, Chordata, Aves, Passeriformes, Pipridae.